RNAcentral lists this ribosomal RNA (387 nucleotides) under Triticum aestivum (bread wheat). Its description in RNAcentral is "partial small subunit ribosomal RNA". The record is from RNAcentral. Lineage: Eukaryota; Viridiplantae; Streptophyta; Magnoliopsida; Poales; Poaceae.
AUGGAGAAGAACAACAUGCUGUCUCAGGAGCUGGAAAAGUGUUGGACCCAGCUAACUACUGUUACCGCUGAACGGGAGAAGUCCAAGGAGGCACCGACUGGAUCGUCGGAUCAGCUGGAAGAGAAACUGAAGGCCCCGCAGGCGGAUAAACAACAUGCCGAAAGGCAAGAGACCGCUGGUCAACGUGUACUGACACGGACCAGGGAUGAGAAGAACAAGCUGCAGGACGCCAACACCCAGCUAGGCGAAGAGCUGAAAGACGUGCGAGCCCAACUGGCGGACGCCUUGAAGGAGAACCGAAAGCUGAGAGGCGGCAUAUUCAGUAUGCCUUUUGACUUACUUUCGUACAGUUUGCUAAGGCGAGUCUUAACAAGUAUAUUUUUGUAG